AGGAUUAACGCUGGCGGCGUGCCUAACACAUGCAAGUCGAACGAGGUAGCAAUACCUAGUGGCAGACGGGUGAGUAGCGCGUGGUCAACCUACCGUUGAGUGGGGGAUAACUAGCCGAAAGGUUAGCUAAUACCGCAUACGUCUCCGAGGGGCAUCCCUUGGCGAUAAAAGGAGCAAUCCGCUCGAUGACGGGACCGCGUCCCAUUAGCUAGUUGGUGGGGUAACGGCCUACCAAGGCAUCGAUGGGUAGCUGGUUUGAGAGAGCGACCAGCCACACUGGGACUGAGAUACGGCCCAGACUCCUACGGGAGGCAGCAGUGAGGAAUUUUCCGCAAUGGGCGAAAGCCUGACGGAGCGACGCCGCGUGUGGGAAGAAGGCCUUCGGGUCGUAAACCACUGUCGAAGGGGAAGAUAAUGACGGUACCCUUGGAGGAAGCCCGGCUAACUACGUGCCAGCAGCCGC
Molecule: ribosomal RNA, 463 nt
Filed under: uncultured bacterium
Lineage: Bacteria
Description: SSU rRNA
Rfam family: Bacterial small subunit ribosomal RNA
Source: RNAcentral